This 1564-nucleotide ribosomal RNA is filed under the name Nitrospinae bacterium RIFCSPLOWO2_01_FULL_39_10. RNAcentral describes it as "bacterial SSU rRNA". It matches the Rfam family "Bacterial small subunit ribosomal RNA". The record is from RNAcentral. Lineage: Bacteria; Pseudomonadati; Nitrospinota.
AAGUGGAGAGUUUGAUCCUGGCUCAGAACGAACGCUGGCGGCGUGCCUAACACAUGCAAGUCGAACGAGAAAGGGGAGCAAUCUCCGAGUAAAGUGGCGCAAGGGUGAGUAACACGUGAGCAACCUGCCCUCAAAUGUGGGAUAACUUACCGAAAGGUGGGCUAAUACCACAUAAGACCACAUUCCAUAAGGAAAGGGGUUAAAAGUGGCCUCUAUUUAUAAGCUAUUGUUUGAGGAUGGGCUCGCGUACCAUUAGCUAGUUGGUAGGGUAACGGCCUACCAAGGCGAUGAUGGUUAGCUGGUCUGAGAGGACGAUCAGCCACACUGGCACUGAGAUACGGGCCAGACUCCUACGGGAGGCAGCAGUGAGGAAUAUUGCGCAAUGGGCGAAAGCCUGACGCAGCAACGCCGCGUGGAGGAUGAAGGCCUUCGGGUUGUAAACUCCUUUCGACCGGGACGAAAAUCUCUGCCAUUAAUAAUUGCAGGGACUGACGGUACUGGUGGAAGAAGCCUCGGCUAACUACGUGCCAGCAGCCGCGGUAAUACGUAGGAGGCAAGCGUUGUUCGGAAUUAUUGGGCGUAAAGGGCGUGUAGGUGGUCAUAUAAGUCGGAGGUGAAAUCCCUCGGCUUAACUGAGGAAGUGCCUUUGAUACUGUAUGGCUUGAGUACGGGAGAGGAGAGCUGAAUUCCCAGUGUAGCGGUGAAAUGCGUAGAUAUUGGGAAGAACAUCUGUGGCGUAGGCGGCUCUCUGGACCGUUACUGACACUGAAACGCGAAAGCUAGGGGAGCAAACGGGAUUAGAUACCCCGGUAGUCCUAGCUGUAAACGAUGGGCACUAGGUGUGGGAGGUAUCGACCCCUUCCGUGCCGCAGCUAACGCAUUAAGUGCCCCGCCUGGGGAGUAUGACCGCAAGGUUGAAACUCAAAGGAAUUGACGGGGGCCCGCACAAGCGGUGGAGCAUGUGGUUCAAUUCGACGCAACGCGAAAAACCUUACCUGGACUUGACAUGCACGGGGAUCCAGCAGAAAUGUUGGAGUCCGCAAGGACUCGUGCACAGGUGCUGCAUGGCUGUCGUCAGCUCGUGUCGUGAGAUGUUGGGUUAAGUCCCGCAACGAGCGCAACCCUUAUCCUUAGUUGCCAUCAGGUAAUGCUGGGAACUCUAAGGAAACUGCCGGCGAUAAGCCGGAGGAAGGUGGGGAUGACGUCAAGUCCUCAUGGCCUUUAUGUCCAGGGCAACACACGUGCUACAAUGGCCGUUACAAAGGGUUGCAAACCCGCGAGGGGGAGCUAAUCCCAAAAAAGCGGCCUCAGUUCGGAUUGGAGUCUGCAAUUCGACUCCAUGAAGCUGGAAUCGCUAGUAAUCGCGGAUCAGAACGCCGCGGUGAAUACGUUCCCGGGCCUUGUACACACCGCCCGUCACACCACGAAAGCCUGUUGUACCAGAAGUCGCUGAGCUAACCCGCAAGGGAGGCAGGUGCCUAAGGUAUGGCCGGUGAUUGGGGUGAAGUCGUAACAAGGUAGCCGUAGGGGAACCUGCGACUGGAUCACCUCCUUUCUAAGGAGA